Molecule: ribosomal RNA, 264 nt
Filed under: uncultured archaeon
Lineage: Archaea
Description: partial 16S ribosomal RNA
Rfam family: Archaeal small subunit ribosomal RNA
Source: RNAcentral
ACACGUCUACAUUAGAUACCCGCGUAGUCCCAGCCGUAAACUAUGCGCGUUAGGUGUAUCGGUGACCACGAGUCACCGAGGUGCCGAAGGGAAACCGUGAAACGUGCCACCUGGGAAGUACGGUCGCAAGGCUGAAACUUAAAGGAAUUGGCGGGGAGCACCACAACGGGUGGAGCCUGCGGUUUAAUUGGACUCAACGCCGGGAAGCUCACCGGAUAAGACAGCGGAAUGAUUGCCGGGCUGAAGACUCUGCAUGACUAGCUG